UGAACGCUAGCGGCAGGCUUAAUACAUGCAAGUCGAGGGGCAGCGCAGUGUAGCAAUACAUGGGCGGCGACCGGCAAACGGGUGCGGAACACGUACACAACCUUCCUAUAAGUGGGGGAUAGCCCAGAGAAAUUUGGAUUAAUACCCCGUAAGAUAACGAUGUGGCAUCACAAUGUUAUUAAAGCUACGGCGCUUAUUGAUGGGUGUGCGGCUGAUUAGAUAGUUGGCGGGGUAAAGGCCCACCAAGUCUACGAUCAGUAGCUGAUGUGAGAGCAUGAUCAGCCACACGGGCACUGAGACACGGGCCCGACUCCUACGGGAGGCAGCAGUAAGGAAUAUUGGUCAAUGGACGCAAGUCUGAACCAGCCAUGCCGCGUGAAGGAUUAAGGUCCUCUGGAUUGUAAACUUCUUUUAUAUGGGACGAAAAAAGGACAUUCUUGUCCGUCUGACGGUACCAUAUGAAUAAGCACCGGCUAACUCC
RNAcentral lists this ribosomal RNA (481 nucleotides) under uncultured bacterium. RNAcentral describes it as "bacterial SSU rRNA". It matches the Rfam family "Bacterial small subunit ribosomal RNA", at positions 30 to 504 of the family's 1533-position model. The record is from RNAcentral.